Molecule: ribosomal RNA, 984 nt
Filed under: Entomortierella beljakovae
Lineage: Eukaryota; Fungi; Mortierellomycota; Mortierellomycetes; Mortierellales; Mortierellaceae
Description: eukaryotic LSU rRNA
Rfam family: Eukaryotic large subunit ribosomal RNA
Source: RNAcentral
AGUGAAGCGGGAUGAGCUCAAAUUUAAAAUCUGGCUGGUUUACUAGUCCGAAUUGUAGUUUAAAGAAGCGUUUUCGGUGGCAGCCUGGGUAUAAAUCCUUUGGAAUAGGGUAUCAUAGAGGGUGAGAAUCCCGUCUUUGACUCAGUGCAUGCUACUAUGUGAUACGUUUUCAAAGAGUCGAGUUGUUUGGGAAUGCAGCUCAAAAUGGGUGGUAAAUUUCAUCUAAAGCUAAAUAUUGGCGAGAGACCGAUAGCGAACAAGUACCGUGAGGGAAAGAUGAAAAGAACUUUGAAAAGAGAGUUAAAUAGUGCGUGAAAUUGUUGAAAGGGAAACGUUUGACACCAGUCAUGCGGGUGGAAAAUCAGUCUUUUGGGGUGGGGAGUGGUAGGAGUUCAGACCGCAAGGCUGGCUUUUGCUUCAUCUCUGUCCUAAAGGAUGCACUUUUUCAUCUGCAGGUCAACAUCAGUUUCUUCUGCUGGACAAAACUCCGAGAGAAGGUAGCAGCUUAGGCUGUGUUAUAGCUCUGGAGCGAUACAGUGGAGGGGACUGAGGUUUUCGCAGUGUGUGCUCUCGGGCAAGGUCGACUGGGUGCUAUGUGAUCGUUCGGUGUACAAUGCAUGCAUUUUGCGCUGUGUCUUUUGCAUACUCGCCUGAAUCGACUCUUCCACGCUUAGGAUGUUGACUUAAUGGUUUUAAACGACCCGUCUUGAAACACGGACCAAGGAGUCUAACAUAUAUGCAAGUGUUUGGGUGGCAAACCCAUACGCGUAAUGAAAGUGAACGUAGGUGCGAUCCGCAAGGUGCAGCAUCGACCGAUCUUGAUAUUUUUGGAUAGAUUUGAGUAAGAGCAUAUAUGCUGGGACCCGAAAGAUGGUGAACUAUGCCUGAAUAGGGUGAAGCCAAGAGGAAACUCUGGUGGAGGCUCGUAGCGAUUCUGACGUGCAAAUCGAUUCGUCAAAUUUGGGUAUAGAAGGCGAAAGACUA